Molecule: unclassified non-coding RNA, 422 nt
Filed under: uncultured Sebacinaceae
Lineage: Eukaryota; Fungi; Basidiomycota; Agaricomycetes; Sebacinales; Sebacinaceae
Description: sequence contains ITS2
Rfam family: 5.8S ribosomal RNA (bases 1-154)
Source: RNAcentral
AACUUUUGACAACGGAUCUCUUGGCUCUCGCAUCGAUGAAGAACGCAGCGAAAUGCGAUAAGUAAUGUGUAUUGCAGAAUUCAGUGAAUCAUCGAAUCUUUGAACGCACCUUGCACCCUUUGGUAUUCCGAAGGGUAUGCUCGUUUGAGUGUCAUUGUACUCUCACACUCUCUGAUCCUUUGGAUUCAGGGAGCAGUGGACUUGGGUGUUUGCUGCUUUCCUUGUGGCUCACCUCAAAUGCGUCAGUGCACCUCUUGGUUGGACAUAGUACGGCGUGAUAAGUAUCUUCGCCGGCACCUCGCAAGAGGGUGGUCAAUUGGGAGCUCUGUGCUUUCAAACCGUCUUCGGACAAUCUCUGACAACUUGACCUCAAAUCGAGUAGGACUACCCGCUGAACUUAAGCAUAUCAAUAAGCGGAGGCU